AUUGAACGCUGGCGGCAUGCUUUACACAUGCAAGUCGAACGGCAGCGCGGGCUUCGGCCUGGCGGCGAGUGGCGAACGGGUGAGUAAUGCAUCGGAACGUGCCCAGUAGUGGGGGAUAGCGCGCCGAAAGCCGGAUUAAUACCGCAUACGACCUGAGGGUGAAAGCGGGGGAUCGACAGGCCUCGCGCUAUUGGAGCGGCCGAGGUCGGAUUAGCUAGUUGGUGGGGUAAAGGCCUACCAAGGCGACGAUCCGUAGCUGGUCUGAGAGGAUGACCAGUCACACUGGAACUGAGACACGGCCCAGACUCCUACGGGAGGCAGCAGUGGGGAAUAUUGGACAAUGGGCGCAAGCCUGAUCCAGCCAUGCCGCGUGUGGGAAGAAGGUCUUCGGAUUGUAAAGCACUUUUGUUCGGGAGGAAGGCCAGUGAGCUAAUACCUCGCUGGGUUGACGGUACCGGCAGAAUAAGCACCGGCUAACUACGUG
This 484-nucleotide ribosomal RNA is filed under the name uncultured bacterium. RNAcentral's name for it is "partial 16S ribosomal RNA". It matches the Rfam family "Bacterial small subunit ribosomal RNA", at positions 29 to 507 of the family's 1533-position model. The record is from RNAcentral.